This 253-nucleotide non-coding RNA is filed under the name uncultured bacterium. Its description in RNAcentral is "partial 16S ribosomal RNA". It matches the Rfam family "Bacterial small subunit ribosomal RNA", at positions 524 to 776 of the family's 1533-position model. The record is from RNAcentral. RNAcentral also lists the same sequence under 1 other name.
UACGGAGGGUGCAAGCGUUAAUCGGAAUAACUGGGCGUAAAGCGCACGCAGGCGGUUGGAUAAGUCAGAUGUGAAAUCCCCGGGCUCAACCUGGGAACUGCAUUUGAAACUGUCUGACUAGAGUCUUGUAGAGGGGGGUAGAAUUCCAGGUGUAGCGGUGAAAUGCGUAGAGAUCUGGAGGAAUACCGGUGGCGAAGGCGGCCCCCUGGACAAAGACUGACGCUCAGGUGCGAAAGCGUGGGGAGCAAACAGG